This is a non-coding RNA of Pelobates cultripes (western spadefoot toad), 310 nucleotides long. The record is from the annotation of a GenBank genome assembly. Lineage: Eukaryota; Metazoa; Chordata; Amphibia; Anura; Pelobatidae.
GAGCUGAACUCAAAGAUCCAAGAUGUUUUCUAUGUACACAAAAUACCUGUUUCUCUCAAAUACUGUUCACAAGUCUGUCUAAAUCUGUGUUAGUGAGCACUUAUCCUUUGCCAAGAUAAUCCAUCCACCUCACAGGUGUGGCAUAUCAAGAUACUGAUUAGACAGCAUGAUUAUUGCAAAGGUGUGCCUUAGACUGGCCACAAUAAAAGGCCACUCUAAAUGUGCAGACUUGACAAAUUUGUGAACAAUAUUUGAGAGAAAUAGGUAUUUUGUGUACAUAGAAAAAGUCUUAGAUCUUUGAGUUCAGCUC